Molecule: ribosomal RNA, 468 nt
Filed under: uncultured bacterium
Lineage: Bacteria
Description: partial 16S ribosomal RNA
Rfam family: Bacterial small subunit ribosomal RNA
Source: RNAcentral
GACGAACGCUGGCGGCGUGCUUAACACAUGCAAGUCGAACGGAAAGGCCCUGCUUUUGUGGGGUGCUCGAGUGGCGAACGGGUGAGUAACACGUGAGUAACCUGCCCUUGACUUUGGGAUAACUUCAGGAAACUGGGGCUAAUACCGGAUAGGAGCUCCUGCUGCAUGGUGGGGGUUGGAAAGUUUCGGCGGUUGGGGAUGGACUCGCGGCUUAUCAGCUUGUUGGUGGGGUAGUGGCUUACCAAGGCUUUGACGGGUAGCCGGCCUGAGAGGGUGACCGGACACAUUGGGACUGAGAUGAGGCCCAGACUCCUACGGGAGGCAGCAGUGGGGAAUAUUGCACAAUGGGCGAAAGCCUGAUGCAGCAACGCCGCGUGCGGGAUGACGGCCUUCGGGUUGUAAACCGCUUUCGCCUGUGACGAAGCGUGAGUGACGGUAAUGGGUAAAGAAGCACCGGCUAACUACGUG